This 244-nucleotide long non-coding RNA is filed under the name Lathyrus oleraceus (garden pea). RNAcentral's name for it is "Pisum sativum (pea) long non-coding RNA (PSAT_LNC022582)". The record is from RNAcentral. Lineage: Eukaryota; Viridiplantae; Streptophyta; Magnoliopsida; Fabales; Fabaceae.
UCCCUUGUUGUUUUCUUAUUGGCCACUGCAGUUGUUUUGGAGAUAACAUGGUUCUCUUCGGGUCACCAAAAGAUCCAUUUUCUUGAUCAUUUAAACACUUUCUUUAUUUCUCUCUCUUUACCUCACGAUCCAAAAACCUCAUUGUUUAUUCAGAAAAACUCAUCCCAAAUCCAUAUUUAUCCAAAAAAAAUCACAUCUUCAAAUUGUUCUUCACCACAAAUCCAUCGAAUACCUAGAUUUCUUA